UGCAAAUCAAUAUAAAUUGAUUUAUAUUAUAAAUUAUUUAUUAAUAAAUAUUUUUAUUUAGUUUUUAAUAUUAUUAAAAAUAAUUAUAUAAUUUAUUUGUUUUAGUAAUUUUUAAUGAAAAAAUAAUUUUUAUGAUAGUUUAUUUGUAUUGUGAAAGAUAAUUGAAAUAAUUUUGAAAAAUUUUUAUUUAAAAAGAAAAAUUUUUUUUUUGUACCUUGUGUAUCAGGGUUUAUUAAAUAAUUAAUAAUUAUUUUUAUUAUUCUCGAUUUUAUAAGAGUUAAUAAUUUACUAAAUUUAAUGUAUUAAAAUUAUUUUUAAUAAAUUAUUAGAAAUGAAAUGUUAUUCGUUUAUAAAGGUAUCUAGUUUUUUUAGAAAUAAAUUUAAUUUAUAAAUUUUUAAUUUUUUUAUUAUUUAUUUAAUAAAAAAAAUUAUUAAUUUAAAUAUUUUAAGGGAUAAGCUUUAAAAUAAAUUAUUAAAAAUUAAUUGAUUUUAAUUUUAAAAUAUAUGCUUAUAAUUAGCAAUUAUUAUUAAUAUUGUUAUAAAUUAUUUCAUUAAAAUAGUAUUUAAUUAAUUUUAAUAUUUUAUAAAAAUUUUUUUUUUAAUUUAAGAAUAAAAAGUAUAAAUGAUAAAAUUAGUAUAUUAGUUUUAAUGUAUGGAAUAAAUUUAAUUGAUAAGUUUAUAUAAAGAACUCGGCAAAUAUUAUACUCGCCUGUUUAACAAAAACAUGUCUUUUUGAGUUAUUUUUAAAGUCUAACCUGCCCAAUGAAUAAUUUUUAAUGGCCGCAGUAUCCUAACUGUGCAAAGGUAGCAUAAUCAUUAGUCUUUUAAUUGAAGGCUUGUAUGAAUGGUUGGACGAAGUAUAAACUGUUCCAUAUAAAUUUAUAAUAGAAUUUUAUUUUUUAGUAAAAAAGCUAAAAUAAUAUUAAAGGACGAGAAGACCCUAUAAAUCUUUAUAUUAUAAUUUAUUAAUUUUUUUUGAUUUUUUUGAAUUUAAUAUAUUAUAAUAUUUUGUUGGGGUGAUAUUAAAAUUUAUAAAACUUUUAAUUUAAAUUUACAUUAAUUUAUGAUUUAUUGAUCCUUUAAUAAUGAUUAUAAGAGUAAGUUACUUUAGGGAUAACAGCGUAAUUUUUUUGGAGAGUUCUUAUCGAUAAAAAAGUUUGCGACCUCGAUGUUGGAUUAAGAGAUAUUUUUAGGUGUAGUCGCUUAAAUAUAAAGUCAGUCCGACUUU
RNAcentral lists this ribosomal RNA (1228 nucleotides) under Terellia palposa. RNAcentral's name for it is "partial 16S ribosomal RNA". The record is from RNAcentral. Lineage: Eukaryota; Metazoa; Arthropoda; Insecta; Diptera; Tephritidae.